This 2281-nucleotide long non-coding RNA is filed under the name Drosophila guanche. Lineage: Eukaryota; Metazoa; Arthropoda; Insecta; Diptera; Drosophilidae. The record is from RNAcentral.
AUAAAAGUUGUGACGCGUAAGAAGCGGCUCACACGUCCCUUCUCGUUUUUUAUAAAUAGGUGCAAGAAUUGGGCGUCGUUUAAGGUAUGUCUCGUCAAAGUCUAUGGAGAGACGGCUGAGCUAAAAUACAAGUUCCUCUCAAGUCUCGAGAGUAAACUUAGUGACCCGUCCGAUCUGCUGUUCGGCUGCAUGCUCGUGCCUAAAUCCAAACUGGUGGUUGGGAAUUGCCUCUAAAAAUCCGUCCGCUUCCAUCAUCCUGGUCAGCAGAAGACCAUCCAGACAGCAAACUGAUAGGUCUGUAUGAGGCCCAUUUGUCCGCUGGCUUGCCGGGUUUGGGGAUCAUUGAAACAACUGCGCUUUUCCAGAGGCUAGGGAAACAUCCAAAUCGUAGCGCACUAUUACAAAUCAGCACAAGAUAGAGCAGGGCAGACUUGGGAAGCAGCUUAAUUUUCCCUUUGUUUUCCAUUCCUGAGGAUUUCCUCAACGCAAACGCAAACGCCGCUUGGUAGCAAUCAUUAGGCGGACACGAUUUGUUACAGGCACCUUUGCCUGCAAUCUGGGUCUGAGGGGCCUCAUCAGAUUGCUUCUAGCAAGAUCAGCAGCAUGUAUGAUGUUGUUGUGCAGAAUGUCAGCAGCAUCAUCAUCCGCGGCAGACCUUAGCUUAGGGUGUAUGUGUGAGUCCAGCCAAGACUGGAACAACGAUACGUUUGAGCCUGCCGCCAGCAGGCGCCUUUUCAUUGUCACCUCCGUUGGAGAAUCGAUUAGCUCGACCAACAUGCAAUCUCAUUCUGAUCGCGUAUGUUAAGCAGCAUCUCGAAUGACUUUAUACACAACAAAAUCGAUCGCUUAGGGGGAAUGAAGGGUGUUGUCUAGGUAGUUUGAAGGCUAACCAGUAGCAAAAACAUUGCAGCUGCUCCUCUUUAUGGACCUGAGCAAGGUUCCUCUUCGCUUGCAUGCCCUUAGGUUGCCCCACCAUGCAUUUUUAGAAUUCCGAUCGCCAGCAGCAAUGAAGUGCGACCCGAAUAGGCGAAACAAUUGUGCGAAUCGCUCGUCCGUCCAUUUCUGCUACGGUGGACAGCAUAUGGACCAUAUUCAGACACGCAUGCUAACUUGUAAACGUCAAGUGAACACCAGCGGCCUGGAUGUGUUCCGUGGAAAUGCAAGGCAGCGACAUACAUAUGGGGGAUUGAAGAUCUAAUAAGAAGUAAUGCUCCUCCUCGACUAGACCCAGAUGGAUGAUGUGUUGUAUGUGUGCAGUAUCCAUCUACACUGAAGGUUGCUGAGUUUUUAAAAUUAGACUCAGAAACCAUCAUGACGUCCACUUCGGGUCUGCACAUGUACUCUUCCAGCUCCUCAGUCAUCCCACGAAGCCCCGAGGCGUUCCAAAAUACUAAUUUGGAACAGACAUCUCUCCGACUGCCACCGACUUGAUGUGGAGAAUUCCCGGUGAGUAUCCUAUACAUUUAGGGCAAAAGUGAUGGCAUGAAUUUUGGGGAAUAAACAUUCUGUCAAUGUAGUCAUUUGUUCAACUAAUUGAUCAAUUUUCCUUUCUAGUUUCUGAGUAGCUUCAGCCGCCGCUGGACCAGCUCCUGGGUUAGCAGACUGAUGAGAACGUCCAUGUUUUCGACUCAGCUAAUUGAAAUGGACCGACUGAUUGCCCAGUCCGGGUCGUGGACCAGCUUCGCCGGCCAGGACACAGGCAGAGGCUGAGACGAGCUCUGAGGCUGUCCGUUUCGAACAGCAGCCGCAUAGCUGCCUUGGAGCACAGGAAGUGCUGGACCUCUGGUGCCUGAACUUUUAUAUAUUUAACCUCGACAAUAUAUUCUUAGUUUUGGGUAAUCCGCUUUCCAUUUUCAUACAGUAAUCCUUGAACUAUUUUUCAAUCUAUACUUGAAAUAUAAUUGGCCACAUGUAUAGAGUAUAGAGUACUACGUAUAGCUCCGAUUCUCCUACGCUGCACUCAUCCACAGCCAAUGAUUCGUUGUCCGAAGAAGUUGCUUGACCUGGGGCGACCCCCAGCAUCAGUCUUAGAUCUGGUCCUGUAUGUAGCCUUGGAGAUAAUUGAAGCCGCCUUCUUCGCGGUAGGCUUAGCGAUUGAGGAUCCCUGGAUGGCAGCAGAAGGCUACAGCAUUGCUGAAAACUUUUCAGCACAAUUUAGUACACGGCACAACACUUUAUAUUGCCCGGGAAUGUAUUUUUAAAACGACACACAGGGCACUAUUACACCGUGUGGGGUUUUUUUUUCAAAACGAAAAGGGACGUGUGAGACGCUUCUUAUGCG